RNAcentral lists this ribosomal RNA (485 nucleotides) under uncultured bacterium. RNAcentral describes it as "bacterial SSU rRNA". It matches the Rfam family "Bacterial small subunit ribosomal RNA", at positions 32 to 509 of the family's 1533-position model. The record is from RNAcentral.
UGAAACGCUGGCGGCGUGCCUAACACAUGCAAGUCGAGCGAUUUACUUCGGUAGUGAGCGGCGGACGGGUGAGUAACACGUGGGCAACCUGCCCUGAAGUGGGGGAUAACAUCUGGAAACAGGUGCUAAUACCGCAUAACAACGAAAACCACAUGGUUUUCGUUUCAAAGAUGGUUUCGGCUAUCACUUCAGGAUGGGCCCGCGGUGCAUUAGCUAGUUGGUAAGGUAACGGCUUACCAAGGCAACGAUGCAUAGCCGAGUUGAGAGACUGAUCGGCCACAAUGGAACUGAGACACGGUCCAUACUCCUACGGGAGGCAGCAGUAGGGAAUCUUCCACAAUGGGCGCAAGCCUGAUGGAGCAACACCGCGUGAGUGAAGAAGGGUUUCGGCUCGUAAAGCUCUGUUGUUGGAGAAGAACGUGCGUGAGAGUAACUGUUCACGCAGUGACGGUAUCCAACCAGAAAGUCACGGCUAACUACGUGCC